GAUGAACGCUGGCGGCGUGCUUAACACAUGCAAGUCGAACGGGAAUUAUUUUAUUGACACUUCGGUCGAUUUCAUUUAAUUCUAGUGGCGGACGGGUGAGUAACGCGUGGGUAACCUGCCUUAUACAGGGGGAUAACAGUCAGAAAUGGCUGCUAAUACCGCAUAAGCGCACAGAGCUGCAUGGCUCAGUGUGAAAAACUCCGGUGGUAUAAGAUGGACCCGCGUUGGAUUAGCUGGUUGGUGGGGUAACGGCCCACCAAGGCGACGAUCCAUAGCCGGCCUGAGAGGGUGAACGGCCACAGUGGGACUGAGACACGGCCCAGACUCCUACGGGAGGCAGCAGUGGGGAAUAUUGCACAAUGGGGGAAACCCUGAUGCAGCGACGCCGCGUGAAGGAAGAAGUAUCUCGGUAUGUAAACUUCUAUCAGCAGGGAAGAUAGUGACGGUACCUGACGAAGAAGCCCCGGCUAACUACGUG
Molecule: ribosomal RNA, 478 nt
Filed under: uncultured bacterium
Lineage: Bacteria
Description: partial 16S ribosomal RNA
Rfam family: Bacterial small subunit ribosomal RNA
Source: RNAcentral